GGUUAAGUGAAUAAGGGCGCACGGUGGAUGCCUUGGCACUAGGAGCCGAUGAAGGACGGGACUAACACCGAUAUGCUUUGGGGAGCUGUAAGUAAGCUAUGAUCCAGAGAUUUCCGAAUGGGGGAACCCAAUAUCUUUUAUAGGAUAUUACUUUUCAGUGAAUACAUAGCUGAUUAGAGGUAGACGCAGAGAACUGAAACAUCUUAGUACCUGCAGGAAGAGAAAGAAAAUUCGAUUCCCUGAGUAGCGGCGAGCGAAACGGGAAGAGCCCAAACCAACAAGCUUGCUUGUUGGGGUUGUAGGACUCCGAUAUGGUAGUCUGUUAGUAUAGUUGAAGGAUUUGGAAAAUUCCGCUAAAGAGGGUGAAAGCCCCGUAGACGAAAUGCUGACAACACCUAGGAGGAUCCUGAGUACGGCGGAACACGAGAAAUUCCGUCGGAAUCCGCGGGGACCAUCCCGCAAGGCUAAAUACUCCCUAGUGACCGAUAGUGAACCAGUACCGUGAGGGAAAGGUGAAAAGCACCCCGGAAGGGGAGUGAAAUAGAUCCUGAAACCGUGUGCCUACAACAAGUCAAAGCUCGUUAAUGAGUGAUGGCGUGCCUUUUGUAGAAUGAACCGGCGAGUUACGAUUGCAUGCGAGGUUAAGUCGAAGAGACGGAGCCGCAGCGAAAGCGAGUCUGAAUAGGGCGAAUGAGUAUGUAGUCGUAGACCCGAAACCAUGUGAUCUACCCAUGUCCAGGUUGAAGGUGCGGUAAAACGCACUGGAGGACCGAACCCACGUACGUUGAAAAGUGCGGGGAUGAGGUGUGGGUAGCGGAGAAAUUCCAAACGAACUUGGAGAUAGCUGGUUCUCUCCGAAAUAGCUUUAGGGCUAGCCUCGGAAUUGAGAAUGAUGGAGGUAGAGCACUGUUUGGACUAGGGGCCCAUCUCGGGUUACCGAAUUCAGAUAAACUCCGAAUGCCAUUCAUUUAUAUCCGGGAGUCAGACUGCGAGUGAUAAGAUCCGUAGUCGAAAGGGAAACAGCCCAGACCACCAGCUAAGGUCCCAAAAUAUAUGUUAAGUGGAAAAGGAUGUGGGGUUGCACAGACAACUAGGAUGUUGGCUUAGAAGCAGCCACCAUUUAAAGAGUGCGUAAUAGCUCACUAGUCGAGUGACCCUGCGCCGAAAAUGUACCGGGGCUAAACAUAUUACCGAAGCUGUGGACUACACCAUUAGGUGUAGUGGUAGGAGAGCGUUCUAAGGGCGUUGAAGGUCGAUCGUGAGGACGGCUGGAGCGCUUAGAAGUGAGAAUGCCGGUAUGAGUAGCGAAAGACAGGUGAGAAUCCUGUCCACCGUAUGACUAAGGUUUCCUGGGGAAGGCUCGUCCGCCCAGGGUUAGUCGGGACCUAAGCCGAGGCCGAUAGGCGUAGGCGAUGGACAACAGGUUGAUAUUCCUGUACCAGUUGUUUUUGUUUGAGCAAUGGAGGGACGCAGUAGGCUAAGGAAUGCAUGCGAUUGGAAGUGCAUGUCCAAGCAAUGAGUCUUGAGUAGAGUUAAAUGCUUUACUCUCUAAGGACAAGUUGUGACGGGGAGCGAAAUAAUAGUAGCGAAGUUCCUGAUGUCACACUGCCAAGAAAAGCUUCUAGUGAGAAAACAACUGCCCGUACCGUAAACCGACACAGGUAGUCGAGGAGAGUAUCCUAAGGUGAGCGAGCGAACUCUCGUUAAGGAACUCGGCAAAAUGACCCCGUAACUUCGGGAGAAGGGGUGCUGACUUCGGUCAGCCGCAGUGAAUAGGCCCAAGCGACUGUUUAUCAAAAACACAGGUCUCUGCAAAAUCGUAAGAUGAAGUAUAGGGGCUGACGCCUGCCCGGUGCUGGAAGGUUAAGAGGAUGGGUUAGCUUCGGCGAAGCUCAGAAUUGAAGCCCCAGUAAACGGCGGCCGUAACUAUAACGGUCCUAAGGUAGCGAAAUUCCUUGUCGGGUAAGUUCCGACCCGCACGAAAGGCGUAACGAUUUGGGCACUGUCUCAACGAGAGACUCGGUGAAAUUUUAGUACCUGUGAAGAUGCAGGUUACCCGCGACAGGACGGAAAGACCCCAUGGAGCUUUACUGUAGUUUGAUAUUGAGUGUUUGUACCACAUGUACAGGAUAGGUAGGAGCCGAUGAGACCGGAACGCUAGUUUCGGAGGAGGCGCUGGUGGGAUACUACCCUUGUGUUAUGAACCCUCUAACCCGCACCACUAAUCGUGGUGGGAGACAGUGUCAGAUGGGCAGUUUGACUGGGGCGGUCGCCUCCUAAAAGGUAACGGAGGCGCCCAAAGGUUCCCUCAGAAUGGUUGGAAAUCAUUCGAAGAGUGUAAAGGCAGAAGGGAGCUUGACUGCGAGACCUACAAGUCGAGCAGGGACGAAAGUCGGGCUUAGUGAUCCGGUGGUUCCGCAUGGAAGGGCCAUCGCUCAACGGAUAAAAGCUACCCUGGGGAUAACAGGCUUAUCUCCCCCAAGAGUCCACAUCGACGGGGAGGUUUGGCACCUCGAUGUCGGCUCGUCGCAUCCUGGGGCUGUAGUCGGUCCCAAGGGUUGGGCUGUUCGCCCAUUAAAGCGGCACGCGAGCUGGGUUCAGAACGUCGUGAGACAGUUCGGCCCCUAUCCGUCGCGGGCGUUGGAAAUUUGAGAGGAGCUGUCCUUAGUACGAGAGGACCGGGAUGGACUUACCGCUGGUGUACCAGUUGUUCUGCCAAGGGCAUUGCUGGGUAGCUAUGUAGGGAAGGGAUAAACGCUGAAAGCAUCUAAGUGUGAAGCCCACCUCAAGAUGAGAUUUCCCAUUUCUUUAAGAAAGUAAGACCCCUGAGAGAUGAUCAGGUAGAUAGGUUGGAAGUGGAAGGCUAGUGAUAGUUGGAGCGGACCAAUACUAAUCGGUCGAGGACUUAACCAA
This 2913-nucleotide ribosomal RNA is filed under the name Enterococcus faecalis. RNAcentral's name for it is "23S ribosomal RNA". It matches the Rfam family "Bacterial large subunit ribosomal RNA". The record is from RNAcentral. Lineage: Bacteria; Bacillati; Bacillota; Bacilli; Lactobacillales; Enterococcaceae.